GUCACUUUAUUUCCUCAGCCGUCGGAUGUUGAUCGGGCGUCCCAGCACGUGCGUUGCAGCUAGCGUUUCUGGAGGCUUCGUCCACUCUGUUUCCCUAUCCUCACGGCGCCCGCCGGCCGCCGCCACUUGCUCCAGCUAACGUGCCGCCGCUGGUCGAGCUCGAGGCCCAUUCCCGUCCGGUGUCGUCGACUCCACCAGAGGCCGCCCGUUCUCCACGCCUGCUCCCGCGCUCCAUUCGUCCACAUCGACAUCUCCGCCUCCACCCGCCUACUUGCCUGCCUCCUUUGUAUCCCUAAGCGAGGCAAGGAGAGAUUCACGGCCGCGAGGGGGUCAGGUCUCAGAUGCGCUGCUUCCUGCGCGCUCCCUGCUCUGGUGCGAGCUCAUCGGCGACAUCCGCGGUGGCGCCCAACGAGCUAGCUUGGCGCCGGCGAGCGGCGGAACUGGAUUAGAUCCUUUUGCAGCUUGACAUCAGCAUGUGGCAGGCGACCGGCGGAUCUGCUGGGAAGGCCCUGCGUCGGGCGCGUGGGGCGGACAAGCCAUCGGCUUCAACGCGGCUGCACGGGGAGCGCUCCCCUUGCCCACCGUGGAGGGACGGCCGUAGCAGCGUCUGCAUUUCGUUAUUCCGUUCGUGCAUACCGGUGCUGCUCCUUAUGACGUACUAUCGCUCACAAGUUGUUUCUAGAAAUGCCUAAAGACAAGAACGCAACGCAAGCAAGAGCCUGUAAUUCUGUAUGCCUGUGGUCUCAGCUCAUCUUACUUGAACACGGCGAUGCCCCUGCUCAGAUAUGUGUGUGUUCAAACAAGCAUCAAGGCCAAACUUUCUACAUGUAUCCAUGCAUAAAUGGCUAUCUGAAAUUUAGAUGCUACGACAGAACAAACAAUGUGAAACACUAAGGCACGUCACUUGCUAGCGAUUUCUAUUGUGACUGCAGCAUCCCCAUGAUGGCAUGAAGACUUCCGACGAAAAAUAGACUGGAGGCUUUUAUCAAUCUUCUGCUGUGUAAAUUGCUUGUGAUGUCCUUCACCUCUGUGUUAACCAAUUUCUUAGAUGUUUGUAGAAAAGGAAAAUUAUGCCAUCAUUUCUGAUUGCAACUGUAGCAUUCCUAGGAGCAUUUCUGAAGAAAAUAGGACUAGGGCUAUAAGGACAAUGCUUUCCUGUACAAAUUGCAACUAGCGACUGCAUGAUAUUCACCUGUAUGCCAAUAAUAACAUUUUUUUGUUGUCUUCCAUAUUUUUCCACCAUUACUUAAUGUAUAUAUCUUCUGAA
Molecule: long non-coding RNA, 1267 nt
Organism: Panicum virgatum (switchgrass)
Lineage: Eukaryota; Viridiplantae; Streptophyta; Magnoliopsida; Poales; Poaceae
Exons: 3
Source: RefSeq, a predicted model, not a curated record